CCAAGUUGGGAAAAAGCUGAUGGAACCAGCGUGAGGAGAGCAGACUUAAGAUGGAUCUGCCAGCCUCAUAGUCCCUACAAAAGUAACGUCUAAAUGACUGUCAGUACAAGUAUUUACACCUCACAUCCAUGCCUGUCAGUACAAGUAUUUACACCUCACAUCCAUGCCUGCAAGCUUUACAAUAAAAUCAGCCAGGUUCUGCGUCCUAAUUAUCCAAAUGAACAUAAGACAUUUAAAAACUGCCAAUACAACCUGCUACAAGUCACACAUAAGAGUCCCACCAUGCCAAGAACUAUGGUCUCUUUGUCCACACCGUACCAAUGAGUUCACGAAUGAGUUACUUUCCCUUAAAACGUGCUCCUGACCUGCCGUUAGAUGCACUAAGUGCCCAUUCCGCAUUUAGGAGAAGGCCCAAAACUCCAAGCCAUCAGCCGAUUAAACCAUUCUGGUUUUGACGUAGCUUCCCAAGGCCCUUACAUUCCAGCAGAGUAAACGCAUAAAUCACAAUUCAGAAAUGGAUGCUCGAAUAGCUUGAAG
This 537-nucleotide long non-coding RNA is filed under the name Theobroma cacao (cacao). RNAcentral's name for it is "long non-coding RNA (TCAC_LNC004086)". Lineage: Eukaryota; Viridiplantae; Streptophyta; Magnoliopsida; Malvales; Malvaceae. The record is from RNAcentral.